Molecule: long non-coding RNA, 819 nt
Filed under: Mus musculus (house mouse)
Lineage: Eukaryota; Metazoa; Chordata; Mammalia; Rodentia; Muridae
Description: predicted gene, 26709
Source: RNAcentral
GCCUUGAGCCGCUCCUGCCAUGCUCCGCGACCUCGGGGACAGAACUUUCCCCAAACCCGGUGAGGGCAGAGGCUCCAAGGUCCGCCACAGCGCGCGCAGGCGCGCGUCCUCCUCUGUGCCCCGGACGGCGCUGCGCUCCCGGGGCGCGGACCCGAGAUCCUCCCGCGAGUCCCGGCCACAUCCGAAGCUGCGGGGAGUACUGCCUGAGCUAGGCGGCCGGACCUGGGCCUCUGGCCUCAAGAAGCUGGCACCAUAGUUCUGAACUCAGGGACCACGGUUGUUCCAGCAUCACCCUGCAAAAGAGGAAAUGGAGGGAGAGUGGAAAGGGACAAUUGUCUACUGUAGCAAAUCACAUUCUUUCUCACAAAUUUUCAAAAACUGCAUGAUCCUGUGAACACAUCACCAGGAAUUGCUUACAGGGCCUUGGAAGAGGCCGGUGCAGGCCUGAGUCUCUGACCUGCACCAUUUCUUCCCCUCUGUAAAACACUUUGCAAGGAUGUUCUGCUGGUAACAGUCAUUUCCUACCUUUGCAUCCAAGAAAAUCUUUUCUCUUUUAUUCUCAGAGGACAGCUUUGCUGAGCAUUGCAUUCUAAAUUGAUGAGGAGUUUUUCCAACCUUUUAAACAUGACUCUCAUCUUCCUGGUGCCAUCUCUGUGUAGAAGCAUGAUGCGUGGCCUGUCCUGUAGUAAGAUGCAUCUCUCCAGCUUCUCGCCGGCUCCUCUCUUUGCCUUUUGUUUUCUUCAAUGCCGUUAUCAUCUCCUUGGUAUCUGUCUUAGUCAAGGUUUCUAUUGCUGCCAUGAAACACCAUGACCAAAAAGC